AGGAGCCCAGCUGGCUUCACCCAGUGGAUCCCCCACAGGGCUGCAGGUGGAGCUGCCUGCCAGUUCCCGGCCGUGUGCCCGCACUCCUCAGCGCUUGGGUGUCGAUGGGACUGGGCCCAUGGAGUAGGGGGCGGCGCUCGUCUGGGAGGCUCGGGCCACACAGGAGCCCACGGAGGUUGGGGGAGGCUCAGGCAUGGCGGGCUGCAGGUCCCGAGCCCUGCCGUGCAGGAAGGCAGUUAAGGCCCCGCGAGAAAUUGAGCACAGCAGCUGCUGGCUGAGGUGCUAAGCCCCUCACUGCCUGAGGCCAGUGGGGCCGGCCAGCUGCUCCGAGUGCGGGGUCCGCCGAGCCCACGCCCAUCCGGAACUCGCGCUGGCCUGCAAGCACCGCGCGCAGCCCUGGUUCCCGCCCGCGCCUCUCCCUCCACACCUCCCUGUAAGCUGAAGGAGCCCGCUCCGGCCUUGGCCAGCACAGAAAGGGGCUCCCACAGUGCAGCCUCGAGCUGAAGGGCUCAUCAAGUGCCGCCAAAGUGGGAGCCCAGGCAGGGGAGGCGCCGAGAGCCAGUGAGGACUGCCAGCACCGCUGUCACCUCUCAGAAAUGCUGGGAAGAAUAUGAGAGAUCCGGAAGGGAACAGAAGACAAGGAAUGUGGGCACCCUCUAGAAGUUGCAGAAGCCAGAGAAACAGACUCUCCCCUGGAAUGUUCAGAAAGUGUACAAUCCUGCCAAGACCUCGGUCAUAGCUCAGUGAAACCCAUUUUGAAAUUCGGACCACCAGAACUGAGAGAUGUCAAGAAGUGGAAAAGCUGCCUCA
Molecule: long non-coding RNA, 810 nt
Filed under: Homo sapiens (human)
Lineage: Eukaryota; Metazoa; Chordata; Mammalia; Primates; Hominidae
Description: HSALNT0202422
Source: RNAcentral